This 1783-nucleotide unclassified non-coding RNA is filed under the name Hevea brasiliensis (rubber tree). The record is from RNAcentral. Lineage: Eukaryota; Viridiplantae; Streptophyta; Magnoliopsida; Malpighiales; Euphorbiaceae.
GGUUGUCAUAGUUUAGGCAAUAAUUGAUCAAUAUAAAAUUAGCUUUUAGGGACAAAGACUGGAGAUUUUGACGCUUAUGCAAAAUUUUCUACAAGAAAAAGUUCAGUGUCCAAGUAUUAUUGUUUUAACACAAACUUUUCUUGCUAAGACCCUUCCUUGGCCAAGAGUUUUUUCUUUUUUUGAUUUAUUGAUAGGGUUCAAGAUUUUGUUCUUUAUUUCAAGCAUUAGACAAUUAUAUUCCCCUCCCCCUUCUGGGUUUUACUAAUUGUUGAUGUCAGAAGAUGAUUUAAGCUGAUUUCUGUAGUUGUCAAUGUGAUAUUGUUAAUGUCUAGAUGAUGAAGUGCAGCGUACCUUUGCUAUAAUUUGUUGAUACAAUAGUAUGACACUGAUUAUUAAGAUUAUACCAUUCUAAGCAGAAUGAAUUCUCAUGUCCUUAUUGUUCCUGAUACUUCUCACUAUUGAUAUUGAAUUGUUUGCAUUAUGUAGUAUCACUUUUUAAGCAUGAUUUUGCAGUGGGUUAUUGCUCCUUCUAUGGGAAGAAGGUUGACCCGGAGCCGGGACGAUGCAGGAGAACUGAUGGCAAGAAGUGGAGGUGCUCCAAAGAUGCAUACCCAGACUCCAAGUAUUGUGAGCGCCACAUGCACCGUGGCCGCAACCGUUCAAGAAAGCCUGUGGAAUCGCAAACCAUGACACAGUCAUCGUCCACUGUGACAUCACUGACUGUUACCGGAAGCAGCAGUGGGACCGGAAGCUUCCAGAACCUUCCAUUGCACACCUUUGGUAAUCUCCAGGGCACUGGUUCUGGAACUAACCAAUCCCAUUAUAAUAUGGACUCCAUUCCCUAUGGGAUCCCUAGCAAAGAUUACAGGUAUUGCUUCUUGUAAGUAUGUAUGUAUAUAUGUAUUUGUGCUUUUAUUUGGAUAGGCUAGGAAAUUGGAUUGUAACUUGAAGCAUGAUCACUUGAGAGAACAAAGCUCUCUUGCUAAGCUCAUAAGAGUACUUAUGGGAGGAUUAUGCUUUUCUAAUUGUUGUAACUAGUAUUAUUAUAUUAUUUAGGAAAGAACAACAAUAAACGUAUAAUUCAAGUAUAGGCUUCAUGUUAGAAAAUUUAAAUGCGGUCAGUUGUUGUGUACAUCACAUUCCUCCUUUGUUGGGGUGAAAUUUUGUACCAGAGGGUAGAUUCUGGAUCAUUGUCAUCUGGAAGUGGAAAUGUUAUAAACAUUUUUCAAGUUUCUGUCGGGCUCUGGGUUCUGGGCCCUGGUGUCUACAAGAUGGAGGACCUUUGUAGUGUCCCAACAGAAUGUAUUUUUGUUUGUCAGUCUUGCUCUCUGGUACUAUGCUUUGUGCUUUCUCUGUAAAAAUAAUGCUAGAAUUCUGACAGCCACUAGGAAUUGUCUUCAGCACAUCAAUGGUUGCAAAGUUAUCAACUCUCUUCAGUUUCUGUCUAGAGGAACAGAUGAGAGAGAUAAAAAGGGUAAGUCUACGACAGCAGAUUUAUGUGGGCAAGGAUAGCCUGCAAUUUUCAGAAUAAAAAGAAGUGUCAGUUUCUGCCUGACUUUUGGUUUUCCUAUGGGAAACUCUGCAGAGUACACUUGUUAUCUAUGCCUGCAGGCAGCAAAACCAUUUACUUCCUUGUACUUGAUGGUUAAAGGCUUAUGGCUUCUUUUCUAUAUAUUAUGUGAAAUAUGCAUGCAUAUAUAUAUAUAUAUGCAUACAAAGUUCCUAAGGUGCUACAUGUAUAUAUAUUUUUUUUGUGUUCAAACAUGUUGCUAUAUGCAGUAAA